CAGCAGCCACGGGAAUACGUAGGGGGCAAGCGUUAUCCGGAAUUACUGGGUGUAAAGGGAGCGUAGACGGUUAGACAAGUCUGAAGUGAAAUGCCGGGGCUCAACCCCGGAGCUGCUUUGGGAACUGUAGAACUGGAGUGUCGGAGGGGUAAGCGGAAUUCCCAGUGUAGCGGUGAAAUGCGUAGAUAUUGGGAGGAACACCAGUGGCGAAGGCGGCUCACUGGUCCAUUACUGACGCUGAGGUGCGAAAGCGUGGGGAGCAAACAGGAUUAGAUACCCCCGUAGUCCCUGUCUCUUAUAC
Molecule: ribosomal RNA, 301 nt
Filed under: uncultured bacterium
Lineage: Bacteria
Description: partial 16S ribosomal RNA
Rfam family: Bacterial small subunit ribosomal RNA
Source: RNAcentral